Molecule: ribosomal RNA, 269 nt
Filed under: uncultured archaeon
Lineage: Archaea
Description: partial 16S ribosomal RNA
Rfam family: Archaeal small subunit ribosomal RNA
Source: RNAcentral
CAGCACCUCAAGUGUUCAGGAUGAUUAUUGGGCCUAAAGCAUCCGUAGCCGGCGCUGUAAGUUUUCGGUUAAAUCUGUACGCUCAACGUACAGGCUGCCGGGAAUACUGCAGCGCUAGGGAGUGGGAGAGGUAGACGGUACUCGGUAGGAAGGGGUAAAAUCCUUUGAUCUAUUGAUGACCACCUGUGGCGAAGGCGGUCUACCAGAACACGUCCGACGGUGAGGGAUGAAAGCUGGGGGAGCAAAACGGAUUAGAUACCCGAGUAGUC